UGAGGAAUAUUGGUCAAUGGAGGCAACUCUGAACCAGCCAUGCCGCGUGAAGGAUGACGGCCCUAUGGGUUGUAAACUUCUUUUAUAGAGGAAGAAACUUGUCUACGUGUAGACAACUGACGGUACUCUACGAAUAAGGAUCGGCUAACUCCGUGCCAGCAGCCGCGGUAAUACGGAGGAUCCAAGCGUUAUCCGGAUUCAUUGGGUUUAAAGGGUCCGUAGGCGGGUCUUUAAGUCAGUGGUGAAAGCCGACAGCUCAACUGUCGAACUGCCAUUGAUACUGGAGACCUUGAGUACAAAUGAAGUAGGCGGAAUGAGUCAUGUAGCGGUGAAAUGCAUAGAUAUGACUCAGAACACCGAUUGCGAAGGCAGCUUACUAACAUGUAACUGACGCUGAGGGACGAAAGCGUGGGGAGCGAACAGGAUUAGAUACCCUGGUAGUCCACGCCGUAAACGAUCAUCACUCGCUGUUGGCGAUAUACUGUCAGCGGCCAAGCGAAAGUAUUAAGUGAUGCACCUGGGGAGUACGCCGGCAACGGUG
This 541-nucleotide ribosomal RNA is filed under the name uncultured Bacteroidota bacterium. RNAcentral's name for it is "bacterial SSU rRNA". It matches the Rfam family "Bacterial small subunit ribosomal RNA", at positions 355 to 896 of the family's 1533-position model. The record is from RNAcentral. Lineage: Bacteria; Pseudomonadati; Bacteroidota.